CGAACAACGUGACUACUAGUCGGGUACUUACACCAUAGCUGAUAAGAAUGACCAUAGUAUCCAUUUUUCAUCAUAUAUAUUACCUCCUGAAAUCCUGAACUAACCUAACGGAGGAAUCUUUGGAGAAACCGCCUAUUAGGGGUGAUUUUUAAUCGCCCGGUUUUCACGUGCAUUUUUAUUUUUAAAACUAUUAUAAACUAUCACCGCGAUUUUUUGUCCUCCGUUUUUCCACUUUUCAUUUAUUCCCGAUCUGGAACUCCAUAAACUCGCCGUUAUCUUAUACUCGUGUACGGAUGGCGCAUUUAUUGCCGUAUUACAAUUCGUUAGGUCAUGAUGUUGUCCGA
Non-coding RNA from Cinara cedri, 344 nucleotides. The record is from the annotation of a GenBank genome assembly. Lineage: Eukaryota; Metazoa; Arthropoda; Insecta; Hemiptera; Aphididae.